Molecule: ribosomal RNA, 468 nt
Filed under: uncultured bacterium
Lineage: Bacteria
Description: partial 16S ribosomal RNA
Rfam family: Bacterial small subunit ribosomal RNA
Source: RNAcentral
GAUGAACGCUGGCGGCGUGCUUAACACAUGCAAGUCGAACGGUGAAGGCGGAGCUUGCUCUGCUGGAUCAGUGGCGAACGGGUGAGUAACACGUGAGCAAUCUGCCCCUGACUCUGGGAUAAGCGCUGGAAACGGCGUCUAAUACUGGAUACGAGCUGCGAAGGCAUCUUCAGCAGCUGGAAAGAACUUCGGUCAGGGAUGAGCUCGCGGCCUAUCAGCUUGUUGGUGAGGUAACGGCUCACCAAGGCGUCGACGGGUAGCCGGCCUGAGAGGGUGACCGGCCACACUGGGACUGAGACACGGCCCAGACUCCUACGGGAGGCAGCAGUGGGGAAUAUUGCACAAUGGGCGAAAGCCUGAUGCAGCAACGCCGCGUGCGGGACGACGGCCUUCGGGUUGUAAACCUCUUUUAGCAGGGAAGAAGCGAAAGUGACGGUACCUGCAGAAAAAGCGCCGGCUAACUACGUG